AUUGAACGCUGGCGGCAUGCCUUACACAUGCAAGUCGAACGGCAGCACAGGAGCAAUCCUGGUGGCGAGUGGCGAACGGGUGAGUAAUAUAUCGGAACGUGCCCGGUCGUGGGGAUAACGUAGCGAAAGCUACGCUAAUACCGCAUACGAUCUACGGAUGAAAGCGGGGGAUCGCAAGACCUCGCGCGAUUGGAGCGGCCGAUAUCAGAUUAGGUAGUUGGUGAGGUAAAGGCUCACCAAGCCGACGAUCUGUAGCUGGUCUGAGAGGACGACCAGCCACACUGGGACUGAGACACGGCCCAGACUCCUACGGGAGGCAGCAGUGGGGAAUUUUGGACAAUGGGCGCAAGCCUGAUCCAGCAAUGCCGCGUGCAGGAUGAAGGCCUCGGUUGUAACUAGCUUUGUACGGUAACGAAACGGUGAGCUCUAAUACAGUUG
RNAcentral lists this ribosomal RNA (438 nucleotides) under uncultured bacterium. Its description in RNAcentral is "bacterial SSU rRNA". It matches the Rfam family "Bacterial small subunit ribosomal RNA", at positions 30 to 477 of the family's 1533-position model. The record is from RNAcentral.